CCUACGGGUGGCAGCAGUGGGGAAUAUUGGACAAUGGGGGCAACCCUGAUCCAGCCAUGCCGCGUGUGUGAAGAAGGCCCUCGGGUUGUAAAGCACUUUCAGUGAGGAAGAACGCCUGGUGGUUAAUACCCAUCAGGAAAGACAUCACUCACAGAAGAAGCACCGGCUAACUCCGUGCCAGCAGCCGCGGUAAUACGGAGGGUGCGAGCGUUAAUCGGAAUUACUGGGCGUAAAGCGCGCGUAGGUGGCUUGAUAAGCCGGUUGUGAAAGCCCCGGGCUCAACCUGGGAACGGCAUCCGGAACUGUUAAGCUAGAGUGCAGGAGAGGAAGGUAGAAUUCCCGGUGUAGCGGUGAAAUGCGUAGAGAUCGGGAGGAAUACCAGUGGCGAAGGCGGCCUUCUGGACUGACACUGACACUGAGGUGCGAAAGCGUGGGUAGCAAACAGGAUUAGAUACCCCAGUAGUC
RNAcentral lists this ribosomal RNA (465 nucleotides) under Vreelandella stevensii. RNAcentral describes it as "partial 16S ribosomal RNA". It matches the Rfam family "Bacterial small subunit ribosomal RNA", at positions 338 to 795 of the family's 1533-position model. The record is from RNAcentral. Lineage: Bacteria; Pseudomonadati; Pseudomonadota; Gammaproteobacteria; Oceanospirillales; Halomonadaceae.